Long non-coding RNA from Topomyia yanbarensis, 3549 nucleotides. RefSeq lists it as uncharacterized. The transcript is spliced from 3 exons. The record is from RefSeq and is a predicted model, not a curated record. Lineage: Eukaryota; Metazoa; Arthropoda; Insecta; Diptera; Culicidae.
UCGCCUUUUUCGUUGGAUCGCUAUCUCGGCAGUAUUUAUCACUGAGUUGAGAGCAUCCACUGUGGACUUACCCUUCCGAAAGCCAAAUUGGUUGCUUGACAGGCCGUCCGUACCUUUCGCGUACGGGUUAGCCUGUUGAGGAUAAUCCUCUCAAGCAGUUUGCCAGUCGUGUCGAUCAGGCAGAUUGGUCUGUACGCCGAUGGGUCGCCUGGCCGCUUCCCGGGCUUCGGCAACAUCACCAAUUUCGACCUUUUCCAUCUAUCGGGGAAACGGCAUUCGUCAAGGCAUCUCUGCAUAGCUAGCCUGAACAUGUUCGGGUUCGCUAUGAUCGCAGCCUUGAGAGCGUUGUUUGGAACUCCAUCCGGCCCUGGAGCUUUGUUCAUUGCUAGGGAUUUAGCCACUGCGAGUAGUUAUUCAUUCGUCACUGGAGCCACCAUUUCGGCCGUACCCGCACUGUCUCGUAGUGCAGGUGGCCAGGGGCUUGUGGCUCGAGACGGGAAGAGUACUUCGAUAAUCGUCGCCAACCGGUCCGGAGACCGUUCUGGGGGUGAAGAGCCCCCUUUGGUCUUGGCCAUCACGAUCCUGUAGGCGUCACCCCACGGAUUCGCGUUGGCACUCUCACACAGGUUGUCGAAACACGCUCUCUUGCUGCUUUUAAUGGCUUUGUUAAGGGCCAAUUUCGCAGCUCGAAAUACUUCACGGCGGUUCUCUCUUGCAUCCUCGGUGCGAGCUCCUUGCGUCCUCGGUGCGAGCUCUUUGCAUCCUACGUCUAGCUCGGAGACACGCUGAUCGUAGAGCUGCAAUCUCGGCACUCCACCAGUAUACCGGGCAUCGGCCGUUUCUUGGCAGGGGUUUUCUCGGCAUAGUGGCGUCGCACGCGCGUGAUAGAACAGCUACCAGCGCAUCCCCGCUUAGACUGUCGGUGUUGGCCUCCAGUCCCAGGGCCGCGGUGAAAGCUUCGCUGUCGAAGUGAUUGGACUUCCAUCCGCGUACCUGACAGGGAUCUCCCGCUCUCGGAUGCUGCGCACCAUAGUUGAUCCUAAAGCGGAUUGCUAAGCGAUCGCUAUGGGUGUAGCCUUCGUCUACCCUCCAUUCCAUGCCUGGAACCAGACUCGGGCUGGCAAAUGUUACGUCAAUCCACGCCUCUAUCCCGUUUCAGAUACCUAAUGUGACAUCCCCAGGUACCUUUAGAGUCGAACCAGACCCCGAGAUAUUUAAAUGUGAAGACCUGAAGUUCUGGUACCUUUGGUGGAGUCGUAGUUUUGCGUUGCUUUGGUGCUUACAAUAAUAAAUCAGUGCGUACCUGGAAAUAGCACUCACCCUGACUUAUUUUAUAACUUAUCCUCACUUAUUUUAUAAAUCAGAUAAGUUUAGUCUUGGCACUAAGUUAGUGUCGGAUUCUGAUGAGAUAAAGCUGAAACACAAAUUCAAUAACUAAUUCUGGCACAAAACCGAAGCAAACAUCUCCUAGUUUUAGGAAUUUCAGACCAAAUAAGGGCUUCCGGGAAUACCGAGAAUCUUAUGUGAUAUUUCAACUUAAAUUGAUACAGGAUUGGUUGGGCCUAGAAAAACUCAUAGUAAGAGAACUGCGGGGAGAAAAACAGCAUUUUUGGUAACGUAUGCCCCGGCAUUGUAUGGCAACACGUCCAAUGUUAUAAGGAUAGGCAAUGUUCGAUUGGAUUCGUUUUUUGACAGCUAAACGCGAAUCCAAUUGAUCCAAAAUGGAGUCUCCGCAGUUCUCUUUCUAGAGUUUUUCUAGGCCCAACCAAUCCUGUAUUGUGAGCUGAGAAAAAAUUGUGAUGAAAUCAUCGAGUUAAAGAUGUAUAUAUUUUUGUAAACUGAUUUGUACAAAGCUAUUUUUUCCUCCGUGGUCAGGUUUAGGCGAGUUUUUCUAGUUGGGCCUAGAUUUAAGACCGGCAAGUUUGUUGUAUAGCGAAGUUCCUCCCGGCGUCGGGGAGACUUCAAUUCUUACAAAUGCCUUUGAUGUAAAUUGUGAUUGAAGGAGGCUUCAGAAUGCUACCAUACGGCACUUUUAGCAGUUCGAUUCGCAUUCCCUUAUCUUCAUUGUACCCGUUUACAUUUUAAGUACUGGUGUAACAGCAAUAAUUUAAUUUAUCACUUGAGCGAGAAAAAUCAGCAACAUUCGAUUCAACAGUUGAAAAUUUUAUUUUUAAAGAAAGGUUUUCGAUAUCCAUUUCAACAAAGUAACUAUAUCUGACUUCACCACAUGGGAAAGCAGAUUCGCUUUCAAACUCCCCUACUCGCCGCUGUCCUUGAGUUGUGCCAAAGCAAAAAAAAAGGAAAAUCAUGCGAAGAAGAAACCAACGACCAACGCGACCAGACCAAUUGCGCAUUAGAUAGGUAGGUUGUAGGCAAGUUUGUGAAAUUUAUGCGCUAACUUGUUGGGAGUUGCUUUUUCCCAUGAAUUUCCAAGCAGAUGUGCGCCACACGAUAAGUUUCCCCCUCUGCACUGAGUAAAAAAACGGUAACGGCGACGGACGGAGUGUUGUUUGCUGCAGUUUCUCGAACAUAUCGGAGUUUGCGCAUGUACACAACUGUUGGAUCGUUUUCUCGUUCUUCUUCUUUGUUGUGCAGCACCCAUCACCCUUCGUCAGCUGAUUGCAGCAAAUCUAGCUGGGGCUGUGAAAGUACACACUUUUGACUGGUAAAAUGUGUACAAUAGGGAUACAUUUUCAAAUGGUCCAUUUUGAUUCUGAACCGAAAUUUCUAAUUUCGACUGCGAUUCCUAAUUUGAUAGUUUCAAAUAAAACGGGAACAUUCUUUUUACGAUUGUCGCUUAUUUUGAUACUGAUGACUAUCACCGCAAGCCGCGCCGUGUGUUUGUAUUAGUGCCACGAGGAAUCGAGCUCACGUACACAUGCUCAGCUUCGCUACCCUUCUAAUGCGACUGUGUCCGUCCAGGUGGGGUAGUCACGUACGUGUGUGUGUGUGUGUGUUCGUGAUGGAUUUGUUCCGAUUUGAAAGUAUUUUUUUUUGUUCAAGGCAUGCUUUUGUUCGAACCCCCCAAAUGAGUAGGCCUUGAUAUGGUUCAAAGACGACUGAAUUCCAAAUGUUUCCAUGUUAUUUUCAUUAUUCAUGUCUGUUGGCAUUUGGAUGAUUGCAAUCGUUUAACCGGAGAGAACUUGAAUAAAAGCGACGAUCUGUACGGCUUUCAAGUGUAACGUACUUGCUCAAUGCUAAACGUUUUCGAUGGGGAACAUGACUUGUCAUGAGGAUUUCUGUACUCAUGUAAGGGGUUUCCCGUACGAUAUGAAAUCUAAUUAGUUGCGGCUUAUAAUUGCCUUUAACUAGGAAAUUUUCCAUUCGAUCGUCAUCGGUUUUAUUUUGCAUAACAAGCGUAUAUUGGACUAACGAAAACGUCUGUCUGUUGUGUUGGUAUCUGAUAUCGAAAAAUCGGCUCGAUCUAUCCACAUGAAAAACUGUUAUGAUAUUGAAGCAUCGAAACUGGAACUUCAAGCGCCAACUGUACAAAUUACGCCAUCGGAAAAUAAGUGUCUUCUUCGGAUUGUUUUAUCAGAGUCCAUUGAC